UCAGAGCAAACCUGAUAAUUAAUCUUUUACAUUCUGUAGAACCAUCAAGGGGUAGAUGUUGGCCACGAGUUUUAAAGCUGUUCCAUGCCAGGGUGAGGAUUAAACCCUCGACCACUGAUUAAGGUAGUAAAUACUCUUACCGUCUCAUUUAACUCUCGUGAUUAAUUAAAUAUUAAUUUUAAGCCAAAGUCAUAUAGCUUUUGGAAAAUUAAAUAUUGUUAGUUCUUUCCAAUAAGAUUAGUCAAGAUUUUGAUGCUAACGACCUCCUUUUACCAUAAAAAUUUCCACACCCGACUUGACUUUAAACAAAUGCAUUCUAUUUUGAAGUAAUUCCUUCCUUCCUUCUUCUUCUUCUUCUUCUUCUUCUUCUUCUUCUUCUCCAUUGGGGCAUCAACUGGUUUUUUCUUCAUAGCGUUGGAGAUGGGGGAGUUCUGCAUAAACCUAGACGUGGAUAUCAUGGGACUUGUACUUGCACUGGUUAUUGCCAUCGCGCUCAUGCUCACCUGUGUCAACCAACCUCCACGCGCACGCCCCCGCCCAGCUAUGGUUGUCACUCAUCGUAUAGCUUGGUAAGGGCUCAAGCAAGGGAUCAUCAUCAUCAUCAUCAUCAUCAUCAUCAAUAAUCUUGUUUCUUUUGAAGUUUGGUUUUUUUUUUCAAGUUUCAUGGGAUAGUUUUUCAUGUUUUUGAGAAUUGGGAUUGUGCCAAUGAACUGAUAAAAGGGUUUAAAAAGUUGAUCUAGAUUUUGUAAUAGAGUUUGCAAACUCCUUUAAUGUUAUUGUAUUCUCAUAUUAAAGUGAGUGUUUGUUGAUGUAAUGUAAGACAGAAAUAAAAGAGGCAAUUAAUACAGUAAAAGCAAAUUUGUAGUAAAUAAAAUUAUUUGAUGUCAAACAUUUGUAACAAAAAUCAACCAAAUUUCCAAUACACAUAUACUUUCAAUACUUACAAAAUCCCUCAAUUUCAGUUCUCCCAACAGAGGUGGAUGACUGCUUCUGGG
This 995-nucleotide long non-coding RNA is filed under the name Gossypium raimondii (Peruvian cotton). RNAcentral describes it as "long non-coding RNA (GRAI_LNC006052)". The record is from RNAcentral. Lineage: Eukaryota; Viridiplantae; Streptophyta; Magnoliopsida; Malvales; Malvaceae.